This 253-nucleotide ribosomal RNA is filed under the name uncultured bacterium. RNAcentral's name for it is "partial 16S ribosomal RNA". It matches the Rfam family "Bacterial small subunit ribosomal RNA", at positions 524 to 776 of the family's 1533-position model. The record is from RNAcentral.
UACAGAGGUCCCGAGCGUUGUUCGGAUUCACUGGGCGUAAAGGGUGCGUAGGUGGUGAGGUAAGUCGGAUGUGAAAGCUCGGAGCUCAACUCCGAAAUGGCAUUGGAAACUACCUUGCUUGAGGGUUGGAGGGGGGACUGGAAUACUUGGUGUAGCAGUGAAAUGCGUAGAUAUCAAGUGGAACACCAGUGGCGAAGGCGAGUCCCUGGACAACACCUGACACUGAGGCACGAAAGCUAGGGGAGCAAACAGG